This 439-nucleotide ribosomal RNA is filed under the name uncultured bacterium. Its description in RNAcentral is "partial 16S ribosomal RNA". It matches the Rfam family "Bacterial small subunit ribosomal RNA", at positions 338 to 795 of the family's 1533-position model. The record is from RNAcentral.
CCUACGUGAGGCAGCAGUGGGGAAUAUUGCACAAUGGGCGAAAGCCUGCUGCAGCAACGCCGCGUGAGUGAUGAAGGCCUUCGGGUCGUAAAACUCUGUCCUCAAGGCAGAUAAUGACGGUACUUGUGGCUGAAGCCCCGGCUUACUACGUGCCAGCAGCCGCGGUACUACGUAGGGGGCUAGCGUUAUCCGGAUUUACUGGGCGUAAAGGGGUCGUAGGCGGUCUUUCAAGUCAGGCGUGAAAGGCUAAGGCUAAACCUUAGUAAGCGCGUGAAACUGGGAGACUUGAGUGCAGUAGAGGAGAGUGGAAUUCCUAGUGUAGCGGUGAAAUGCGUAGAUAUUAGGAGGAACACCAGUUGCGAAGGCAGCUCUCUGGACUGUAACUGACGCUGAGGCACGAAAGCGUGGGGAGCAAACAGGAUUAGAUACCCUAGUAGUC